GUGCUCACUUUGGCAGCAUAUAUGCUAAAAUUGACACAGAGAAGAUUUGCAUGGCCCCUACACAAGGGUGACAUGCAAAAUUCUUGGAAGCGUCCCAUAUUUUU
Molecule: small nuclear RNA, 104 nt
Filed under: Sorex araneus (European shrew)
Lineage: Eukaryota; Metazoa; Chordata; Mammalia; Eulipotyphla; Soricidae
Source: RNAcentral